Molecule: long non-coding RNA, 393 nt
Organism: Hyaena hyaena (striped hyena)
Lineage: Eukaryota; Metazoa; Chordata; Mammalia; Carnivora; Hyaenidae
Exons: 3
Source: RefSeq, a predicted model, not a curated record
CUGUUAAUCUCUCUGCUCACCUGUGGGCUCUCUAAUCUCGGGAGCAGUAGAGUUCACUCCACAUCCUCUACAGACAGAUGCUUCUCCCACAGAUCCCACAAGAGCAGUUUGUUUUCAGUUUGUUUAGCUCUUUAUUUGUUAGGACAGAGUAAUGACCUCCAAGAUUCUUACGUGUGGAACUGAAAGUGAAAUCCUUCUACACUUAGAUGUGGUGACGGAGGCAAAGAAAAUCUGCACAACGUGCCCAAAGCUACACAGCUGCCGAACCAGGAUUUUAACAAAUAGCAAACUAUGAAGAGCCAUCCUAAUCUGGACUGAAAAUUAAUGUUCAUGAAGUCAAAGAAUGUCACGGAAGUGUUCGCCUGUGUGACAGCAGUGCCUGGCACAGAGGAG